UACGUAGGCAGCAAGCGUUGUUCGGAGUUACUGGGCGUAAAGGGUGCGUAGGCGGCUUUUUAAGUUUGGUGUGAAAUCUCCCGGCUCAACUGGGAGGGUGCGCCGAAUACUGAGAGGGUAGAGUGUGGGAGAGGAAAGUGGAAUUCCUGGUGUAGCGGUGAAAUGCGUAGAUAUCAGGAGGAACACCGGUGGUGUAAACGGCUUUCUGGACCAUAACUGACGCUGAGGCACGAAAGCGUGGGUAGCAAACAGG
Molecule: ribosomal RNA, 253 nt
Filed under: uncultured bacterium
Lineage: Bacteria
Description: partial 16S ribosomal RNA
Rfam family: Bacterial small subunit ribosomal RNA
Source: RNAcentral